This 330-nucleotide ribosomal RNA is filed under the name Armadillo officinalis (oak-woodland pillbug). Its description in RNAcentral is "partial small subunit ribosomal RNA". Lineage: Eukaryota; Metazoa; Arthropoda; Malacostraca; Isopoda; Armadillidae. The record is from RNAcentral.
ACGGGCGAUAUGUACACAUUCAAUAUAAUAAUCAUUUAAGCAUAAUAAACAUUUAAUUACUUUCAAAACCAUUUUUUUUUUUUAUUUCAAAAUAAAUACCAGUUUUUGUUAAAUUGUAAUCCACCUUAUCCUAAUAAGGCUGCACCUGGAUCUAUUUUUUUUAAUUUUUUUUUAAUUUGAAUAACCUUUUCAAAAAGGUAUUUAUACAACGGUAUACAUGCUUUUAGUAGGUAAGAUAUAUCGUGGGGUAUCGUUUAUUAGGCAGAUUCCUCUGAGAAUAUAGGAUGCCGCCAAGUUCUUUAGGUUUCAAGAUAGUAGCUAUUAGUACCU